GGCCUAACACAUGACAAGUCGAGCGCCUACCCGUUCGGGGCGAGCGGCGGACGGGUUAGUAACGCGUGGGAACCGUUACCCUUUUCUAUGGAAUAGCCGUACGGGAAACUGAGAGUUAAUACCAUAUAACGUCCCGUUCGGGGGAAAGAUUUUAUACGGGGAAAGGAUCGGCCCGCGUUAGAUUAGAUAGUUGGUGGGGUAAUGGCCUACCAAGUCUACGAUCUAUAGCUGGUUUUAGAGGAUGAUCAGCAACACUGGGACUGAGACACGGCCCAGACUCCUACGGGAGGCAGCAGUGGGGAAUCUUAGACAAUGGGCGCAAGCCUGAUCUAGCCAUGCCGCGUGUGUGAUGAAGGUCUUAGGAUCGUAAAGCACUUUCGCCAGGGAUGAUAAUGACAGUACCUGGUAAAGAAACCCCGGCUAACUCCGUG
This 431-nucleotide ribosomal RNA is filed under the name uncultured bacterium. Its description in RNAcentral is "bacterial SSU rRNA". It matches the Rfam family "Bacterial small subunit ribosomal RNA", at positions 45 to 507 of the family's 1533-position model. The record is from RNAcentral.